GGCCUGGUUCUAAUAAUUGUAUAGGUGUCCAGAAAAAUAAGCGCUUGGUGAUGUUUUAGGUAUUUUUCUAAUUAAAAUAUUAUGGGAUUUCAUUUUUUUCAUUUAAUGAUUUUGGUUGCUGGUUUCUUGGUUAUCAAGUGUCAUUUUUUGCUUGCGAAACAAGUCAUAUAACAUUGUAGAAGGAUCUAAUAGGCUGGCUC
This 200-nucleotide long non-coding RNA is filed under the name Elaeis guineensis (African oil palm). Its description in RNAcentral is "long non-coding RNA (EGUI_LNC077218)". The record is from RNAcentral. Lineage: Eukaryota; Viridiplantae; Streptophyta; Magnoliopsida; Arecales; Arecaceae.